GACAGCCUUCUGAAAGGAAGAUUAAUACAAGAUGGCAUCAUGAGUCCGCAUGUUCACAUGAUUAAAGGUAUUCCGGUAGACGAUGGGGAUGCGUUCCAUUAGAUAGUAGGCGGGGUAACGGCCCACCUAGUCUUCGAUGGAUAGGGGUUCUGAGAGGAAGGUCCCCCACAUUGGAACUGAGACACGGUCCAAACUCCUGCGGGAGGCAGCAGUGAGGAAUAUUGGUCAAUGGGCGAGAGCCUGAACCAGCCAAGUAGCGUGAAGGAUGACUGCCCUAUGGGUUGUAAACUUCUUUUAUGAAGGAAUAAAGUCGGGUAUGGAUACCCGUUUGCAUGUACUUUAUGAAUAAGGAUCGGCUAACUCCGUGCCAGCAGCCGCGGUAAUACGGAGGAUCCGAGCGUUAUCCGGAUUUAUUGGGUUUAAAGGGAGCGUAGAUGGAUGUUUAAGUCAGUUGUGAAAGUUUGCGGCUCAACCGUAAAAUUGCAGUUGAUACUGGAUAUCUUGAGUGCAGUUGAGGCAGGCGGAAUUCGUGGUGUAGCGGUGAAAUGCUUAGAUAUCACGAAGAACUCCGAUUGCGAAGGCAGCCUGCUAAGCUGCAACUGACAUUGAGGCUCGAAAGUGUGGGUAUCAAACAGGAUUAGAUACCCUGGUAGUCCACACGGUAAACGAUGAAUACUCGCUGUUUGCGAUAUACUGCAAGCGGCCAAGCGAAAGCGUUAAGUAUUCCACCUGGGGAGUAC
This 740-nucleotide ribosomal RNA is filed under the name uncultured bacterium. RNAcentral's name for it is "bacterial SSU rRNA". It matches the Rfam family "Bacterial small subunit ribosomal RNA", at positions 142 to 883 of the family's 1533-position model. The record is from RNAcentral.